Molecule: ribosomal RNA, 251 nt
Filed under: uncultured prokaryote
Description: partial 16S rRNA
Rfam family: Bacterial small subunit ribosomal RNA
Source: RNAcentral
ACGGAGGGGGCUAGCGUUGUUCGGAAUUACUGGGCGUAAAGCGCACGUAGGCGGAUUGGAAAGUUGGGGGUGAAAUCCCGGGGCUCAACCCCGGAACUGCCUUCAAAACUCCCAGUCUUGAGUUCGAGAGAGGUGAGUGGAAUUCCGAGUGUAGAGGUGAAAUUCGUAGAUAUUCGGAGGAACACCAGUGGCGAAGGCGGCUCACUGGCUCGAUACUGACGCUGAGGUGCGAAAGCGUGGGGAGCAAACAG